Molecule: small RNA, 19 nt
Filed under: Arabidopsis thaliana (thale cress)
Lineage: Eukaryota; Viridiplantae; Streptophyta; Magnoliopsida; Brassicales; Brassicaceae
Description: Ath_wt_20400
Source: RNAcentral
UGCUUGGGCGAGAGUAGUA